GGGGAUUUAGCUCAGCGGUAGAGCACUUGCCUAGCAAGCACAAGUCCCCA
This 50-nucleotide transfer RNA is filed under the name Rattus norvegicus (Norway rat). The record is from Rfam by way of RNAcentral. Lineage: Eukaryota; Metazoa; Chordata; Mammalia; Rodentia; Muridae.